GGUUGACCUCGGAUUAGGGUAGGAAU
RNAcentral lists this ribosomal RNA (26 nucleotides) under Daldinia concentrica. Its description in RNAcentral is "partial 28S ribosomal RNA". The record is from RNAcentral. Lineage: Eukaryota; Fungi; Ascomycota; Sordariomycetes; Xylariales; Hypoxylaceae. RNAcentral also lists the same sequence under 3 other names.